Molecule: ribosomal RNA, 253 nt
Filed under: uncultured bacterium
Lineage: Bacteria
Description: partial 16S ribosomal RNA
Rfam family: Bacterial small subunit ribosomal RNA
Source: RNAcentral
GACGAAGGUGGCGAGCGUUGUUCGGAAUCACUGGGCAUAAAGCGCACGUAGGCGGCGACGUAAGUUGGGUGUGAAAUCCCUCGGCCUAACCGAGGAACUGCGCCCAGUACUGCGUUGCUUGAGGAUCAAAGGGGUGCAUGGAAUUCCCGGUGGAGCGGUGAAAUGCGUUGAUAUCGGGAGGAACUCCGGCGGCGAAAGCGGUGCACUGGUUGAUUUCUGACGCUGAGGUGCGAAAGCCAGGGGAGCAAACGGG